AGUGUGUGUGACCCCAUAGGUUCUACUCUGACUGGUAGUGAGAUAUAUUGUGAUCUCUAUCACAAUAUCAUUGAAAACUCCUUUCAAUGGGUCGGAACGAUUCCAACUCUACUCAUUAGGAUUUAUCGAUCAUCAAGAUAAUCCCUAUGAGUCCCACCAUCCACCAGUGACACCUAGCAGCAUGUAGUGGCUACCCAGCAG
This 201-nucleotide long non-coding RNA is filed under the name Phoenix dactylifera (date palm). RNAcentral describes it as "long non-coding RNA (PDAC_LNC011096)". Lineage: Eukaryota; Viridiplantae; Streptophyta; Magnoliopsida; Arecales; Arecaceae. The record is from RNAcentral.